GACGAACGCUGGCGGCGUGCUUAACACAUGCAAGUCGAACGGAAAGGCCCUGCUUUUGUGGGGUGCUCGAGUGGCGAACGGGUGAGUAACACGUGAGUAACCUGCCCUUGACUUUGGGAUAACUUCAGGAAACUGGGGCUAAUACCGGAUAGGAGCUCCUGCUGCAUGGGGGGGGUUGGAAAGUUUCGGCGGUUGGGGCUGGACUCGCGGCUUAUCAGCUUGUUGGUGGGGUUGUGGCGUAACAAGGCUUUGACGGGUAGCCGGCCUUAGAGGGUGACCGGCCACAUUGGGACUGAGAUACGGCCCAGACGCCUACGGGAGGCAGCAGUGGGGAAUAUUGCACAAUGGGCCGAAGCCUGAGGCAGCAACGCCGCGUUCGUGAUGACGGCCUUCGGGUUGUAAACCGCUUUCGCCUGUGACGAAGCGUGAGUGACGGUAAUGGGUAAAGAAGCACCGGCUAACUACGUG
RNAcentral lists this ribosomal RNA (468 nucleotides) under uncultured bacterium. Its description in RNAcentral is "partial 16S ribosomal RNA". It matches the Rfam family "Bacterial small subunit ribosomal RNA", at positions 28 to 507 of the family's 1533-position model. The record is from RNAcentral.